Molecule: long non-coding RNA, 441 nt
Filed under: Capra hircus (goat)
Lineage: Eukaryota; Metazoa; Chordata; Mammalia; Artiodactyla; Bovidae
Description: lncRNA (ENSCHIG00010022152.1)
Source: RNAcentral
CCCGCCCCGCCGCUGCUUUGCAUGAGAAAGCGCAGCGCCCGGCCCCCAGAUCUUGCCGCCGCCCCGGCCCCGGGCCCCGCGUCGCCGCCCUCUCGUGCGUCCCGCCCGCUGCUCCUUCGCCUUCUGCGCCAGCCUCCAACUUGGCCUCUCGUCGCCUCCCCGCCUGCGCUCCCUUUCUCGGGGCGUCCCCGGCCUCGUCCCCCGCAGCCCAAGGGCGCCGGGGUUACUGGAAGUUCGGAGACUGGCCGGAGGAAGGGGUGGGCUGGUCCAAGUCAGGCUAGGGGCUUAUCUCCUCUGAUUUUUAUGGCCCGGCUUUGGAUCACUGGCGUCUACGCGGCUCCCCACUGCUUCUGGCGCUGGAGGGACCAUUCAAGGGGACAGCUUACCCCUCUAUUCCCACACUCCAAAAAACAACACUGCAGACAGACACCCUCCAACUAA